GUCAUGCCAAUGGCACUGCCCGGUAGCUAAAUGCGGAAGAGAUAAGUGCUGAAAGCAUCUAAGCACGAAACUUGCCCCGAGAUGAGUUCUCCCUGAGACUUGGAGUCUCCUGAAGGAACGUUGAAGACGACGACGUUGAUAGGCCGGGUGUGUAAGCGCAGCGAUGCGUUGAGCUAACCGGUACUAAUGAACCGUGAGGCUUAACCUUACAACGCCGAAG
RNAcentral lists this ribosomal RNA (220 nucleotides) under Salmonella enterica subsp. enterica serovar Heidelberg. RNAcentral describes it as "partial 23S ribosomal RNA". It matches the Rfam family "Bacterial large subunit ribosomal RNA", at positions 2723 to 2925 of the family's 2925-position model. Lineage: Bacteria; Pseudomonadati; Pseudomonadota; Gammaproteobacteria; Enterobacterales; Enterobacteriaceae. The record is from RNAcentral.